Molecule: small RNA, 82 nt
Filed under: Acidothermus cellulolyticus 11B
Lineage: Bacteria; Bacillati; Actinomycetota; Actinomycetes; Acidothermales; Acidothermaceae
Description: Actinobacteria sRNA Ms_AS-4
Rfam family: Actinobacteria sRNA Ms_AS-4
Source: Rfam by way of RNAcentral
UUUCGCGCUGGCAUAGCGCGCCGGGGCGUCUUCGAACUCGACGAGCACCCGGGCGCCCAGGAUCGGUCCCAGCCCGGGCUGG